RNAcentral lists this ribosomal RNA (276 nucleotides) under uncultured bacterium. RNAcentral's name for it is "partial 16S ribosomal RNA". It matches the Rfam family "Bacterial small subunit ribosomal RNA", at positions 524 to 796 of the family's 1533-position model. The record is from RNAcentral.
UACGGAGGGGACUAGCGUUGUUCGGAAUUACUGGGCGUAAAGCGCGCGUAGGCGGGCUGGUCAGUUGGGGGUGAAAUCCCGAGGCUUAACCUCGGAACUGCCUUCAAUACUGCCAGUCUUAGUUCGGAAGAGGUGAGUGGAAUUCCUAGUGUAGAGGUGAAAUUCAUAGAUAUUAGGAAGAACACCAGUGGCGAAAGGCGGACUCACUGGCUCGAUACGUGACGCUGAGGUGCGAAAGUGUGGGGAGCAAACAGGAUUAGAGUACCCCGGUAGUCC